AAUGUUACUUCCUGUCCCACUGGGAGUCAGGAAAUAGAGAUAAAUAGAGAGGAUCUGGAACCAGAUAAAGACCAUGGCUGAUGUUGUGUCUUGCCCUUCUUGCCACUAGCCAUCAAAAUUGAAUUGGAUUGGUUCAUCCAAGAAAGCCAUCUGGCAAAAAAAAGAAAGGCAGGAGAUGCAAUUUAACUGCCCAAGAAUUUGCUGAAGUGGCAUCAAAAAUGCACCAAACAUUAAUCUCAUUUUCAUUAGAAAAGGAAGAAAGGCUACUGAGGACAACUUGAUAACAGAUGGCAAAAUUCAUCUGUUCUUCUAGCGUAUUUUCUGUCCAGUGAGCCCAAUGCUGUUGAGUGCCUUUUCCCAUUAAUGGAGAUAGACUUCUCUUCUUUGCAAUAAAUAGGCCAUAUUGUCACUAGUUCCUGCUCUGGGGCUACUACAAGCAUAGCAAAAGUAAUGGAACUCUGAUGGAACAAAGAAGAUAAGAAUUGGAUGAAGGGACCACAUGUGCUUCCUCUCAAUAAUUUCCAUGAUUGUAGUUUGUUUUCCAUGCUUACCAUACAAGAAUUACCAUACAAGAAUCAUCAUGCUGAUGAUACCAAUGCGUAUAUAUCGUAGAACAAUAUAUGGCUAUAACUCU
Molecule: long non-coding RNA, 634 nt
Organism: Pantherophis guttatus
Lineage: Eukaryota; Metazoa; Chordata; Lepidosauria; Squamata; Colubridae
Source: RefSeq, a predicted model, not a curated record